This 474-nucleotide ribosomal RNA is filed under the name uncultured bacterium. Its description in RNAcentral is "partial 16S ribosomal RNA". It matches the Rfam family "Bacterial small subunit ribosomal RNA", at positions 28 to 507 of the family's 1533-position model. The record is from RNAcentral.
GAUGAACGCUAGCGGCAGGCCUAACACAUGCCAGUCGAGGGAGGAGCUUUCGGGCUUCGACCGGCGUACGGGUGCGUAACGCGUAUACAAUCUGCCUUUCACAUAGGGAUAGCCCGAAGAAAUUUGGAUUAAUACCUAAUGGUAUAUAGGAGUGGCAUCACAUUUAUAUUAAAGCUGAGGCGGUGAAAGAUGAGUAUGCGUUCUAUUAGCUAGUUGGAGAGGUAACGGCUCCCCAAGGCGACGAUAGAUAGGGGUUCUGAGAGGGAUAUCCCCCACACUGGUACUGAGAUACGGACCAGACACCUACGGGAGGCAGCAGUGAGGGAUAUUGGACAAUGGUCGGAAGACUGAUCCAGCCAUGCCGCGUGCAGGAAGACGGCCUUAUGGGUUGUAAACUGCUUUUGCAAGGGAAGAAUAAGGACUACGAGUAGUUUGAUGACGGUACUCUGCGAAUAAGCAUCGGCUAACUCCGUG